ACUCAAAGGAAUUGACGGGGGCCCGCACAAGCAGCGGAGCGUGUGGUUUAAUUCGACGCAACACGCAGAACCUUACCCAGGCUUGACAUGCCGCUGCGAGCCACGGAAACGUGGUGCCUUCGAGGGAGCGGCACCGGUGCUGCAUGGCUGUCGUCAGCUCGUGUCGUGAGAUGUUGGGUUAAGUCCCGCAACGAGCGCAACCCUUGCCCCGUGUUGCAUCUUUCACGGGGGACUGCCGUUGGGUUCCAACGGAGGAAGGCGGGGAUGACGUCAAGUCCGCAUGGCCCCUACGCCUGGGGCGACACACACGCUACAAUGGACGGAGCAGCGCGCUGCAACCUCGCAAGGGGAAGCCAAUCGCCAGGACCGUCCGCAGUGCAGAUUGGGGGCUGCAACUCGCCCCCAUGAAGGCGGAGUUGCUAGUAACCGCGUGUCAGCAAAGCGCGGUGAAUACGUACCCGGGCCUUGUACACACCGCCCGU
RNAcentral lists this ribosomal RNA (482 nucleotides) under uncultured bacterium. RNAcentral describes it as "partial 16S ribosomal RNA". It matches the Rfam family "Bacterial small subunit ribosomal RNA", at positions 899 to 1397 of the family's 1533-position model. The record is from RNAcentral.